UACGGGGGGGGCAAGCGUUGUUCGGAAUUACUGGGCGUAAAGGGUUCGUAGGUGGCCAACUAAGCCAGACGUGAAAUCCCUCAGCUUAACUGGGGAACUGCGUCUGGGACUGGAUGGCUUGAGUGCAGGAGAGGAACGCGGAAUUCCAGGUGUAGCGGUGAAAUGCGUAGAUAUCUGGAGGAACACCGGUGGCGAAGGCGGCGUUCUGGACUGCAACUGACACUGAUGAACGAAAGCCAGGGGAGCAAACGGG
This 253-nucleotide ribosomal RNA is filed under the name uncultured bacterium. RNAcentral describes it as "partial 16S ribosomal RNA". It matches the Rfam family "Bacterial small subunit ribosomal RNA", at positions 524 to 776 of the family's 1533-position model. The record is from RNAcentral.